UGGGGAAUAUUGCACAAUGGGCGCAAGCCUGAUGCAGCCAUGCCGCGUGUGUGAAGAAGGCCUUCGGGUUGUAAAGCACUUUCAGCGGGGAGGAAGGCGAUAAGGUUAAUAACCUCAUCGAUUGACGUUACCCGCAGAAGAAGCACCGGCUAACUCCGUGCCAGCAGCCGCGGUAAUACGGAGGGUGCAAGCGUUAAUCGGAAUUACUGGGCGUAAAGCGCACGCAGGCGGUUGAUUGAGUCAGAUGUGAAAUCCCCGGGCUUAACCCGGGAAUUGCAUCUGAUACUGGUCAGCUAGAGUCUUGUAGAGGGGGGUAGAAUUCCAGGUGUAGCGGUGAAAUGCGUAGAGAUCUGGAGGAAUACCGGUGGCGAAGGCGGCCCCCUGGACGAAGACUGACGCUCAGGUGCGAAAGCGUGGGGAGCAAACAGG
Molecule: ribosomal RNA, 429 nt
Filed under: Chloroflexota bacterium
Lineage: Bacteria; Bacillati; Chloroflexota
Description: Chloroflexi bacterium partial 16S ribosomal RNA
Rfam family: Bacterial small subunit ribosomal RNA
Source: RNAcentral